GUGAACUGGCCCCCUGUUUAAAAAGUUUGAGGAGCCCUGGUGUGGAGUCUCAGUCUUCCAGAUGGGAAGGCUGUGGAGGCUGCUGCGGGGCAGCGCGGACAGACUUGGCAUCACUGAACCGAACACGCAAACACGGUUAAGAUGGCAAAUCUUAUGUUAAGUGUUUUUUAACCACAAUUAAAAAAAUUGUAGAGGACAUCCACACAGAGAGUGAACACAGUAUUGAUUUUUGUAGUUUUAACCUCCCUAGUUGAUUAAAAUUAAAAUUAAAAUGUUCACACUAUGGGAAAAGGCAAACAUUAGAAAGGAAAGGACUUUGUUUUUAUUGAAUUUUAGGCAACUCUGUACAUUACUGGUAAGUAGCAGUUAGGUGACCAUCUACUCAAUCUAUGGAGAUACAUAUAUAUGUAUAAAAUAUGAGCUCGCACAUGUAUGGAAUUUGAAUAUACUUCACAUUUCACAAAAGUCAUUGCAUGGCUUCUUGGUGCAAAAGAAAACAAUCUCAAAGUUAUUAAUUUUCUAGCCAUUUUAAAAGAUCACUAGUAAAGGAAGACAUUCUUGGGUAUGAAUCUAAAAGAAUGAAAGCAGCGUCCUAAAGAGAUAGCUGUACGCUCAGUGUUCACAGCAGGAUCAUUCGCAGUGGCCAGAGGCGGACGCAGCACUAGUGCUCGCCGACAGACGGGUAAAUGAAACGUGCUGUGUCCACACACACAGGGAAUAAUAUUCAGCAAAGGAAGGGCAUUCUGACACCUGCCAGGACACAGAUAAACCUUGAAGACACUGUGCUAAGUGAAAUAAGCCAGACACAAAAGGACAAAUGCUGUGUGAUCCCACCUCUGCGAGACACAGAAACAGCAAGUAGAGGUGUGGCUGCCGGGGCUGCUGGGGUCGGGUGGGUGGGGGUUAUUGUGUAAAGGGCACAGAGUUUCGGUCUGGGCAGCGAAAAGAGUUCUGGAGACGGAGGGUGGGGACGGUGGCACGACCAUGGGAAUGCACUUUAUGCCACUGAACUGUACAUGUAUGAAUGGUUAACUUUUCUGUUAUGCGCAUUUUACCACAGUUAAAAAUAACAAUAAAAAUACUGUUAAAAAGAUGACUAUAACUUUGCUGUGGGGGUCGCUGUGGCGCUGCACGUCCAAACCAUCGGGGUCUGAAUAUGCCUGAAAUGCGCAAUCCCGUCUUGCUCCCACUCGCUGCCUUCUGCCCGAGGUCCUCUUGUCUGAGGGUCCGCAGGCGCCGGAAACACGCAGGAGCUGCCCUGCCGUUUGGUGCCCUUCCCACAUCCGGGCAUUUGCGGUUUCCCCGAGCGCCUCUGUGUGUGUGAGGAAGAUUUUCCAACAUCAAAGGUGCUUUUGUCUUUUCAUCAUUGAAGAAAGCCUUUGAUUCAGCCAUAAUCACCUCUGAGUGAGGAAAGUUCUCCAAAUGUAUCUUUUGUAAAAACUGGCCAUUCCCAAGCAGGACGCCACAUAUUGAUUCAAGAUGUCCGUUUGAUGUUGCGCCCGCAGCCCCGCCAGUGCGGACGUGGGCACGGGGCGCUGGCCUUGGCCCUCCCGGUGAGUGUCACCCGCCCGCAGCCGGCGGACAGAUGCUGGUGUGCCGGGAAAGCCGUCCCACGGGCACGCGAGCUCCCUCCCGCGGCCGAGGUCCACGCGCCGCUCCGUGCACCGUCCUGCCCAGGAAGGGCAGUGUGGCCGUUAAGACCGGCAAAGCUGUGAUGGCUGGAGACGCACUUUACUCCGUAAUUCAAGAAAAGCCGUGUUUCCCUGAUCAGCAUUAGCCUGUAGGCCUUUAGAUGAAUUAAAGGCAGGAUAUGAUGAGAUUAAUCCUUGUUAGAAAGCAAUGAGAAGUGGAUUCGUUAAUCCAGAGAAGAGGUGGCGCUCCACACAGCGCGACACCAGGCUCCUGCUGCCUUGAGUCCCUGGCCGGCUAAAACCUCAGCUGCUGCAUUAACUCUUGAAAGUAGAGACGUUGCUGAGUUAAGGUGCUCUGUCUCUGUAUUUAAAUGUCUCUAUGUGUGGCUGUUGGGAUUCACCUCAAUUUUUGACCUUUAGCCUGUGCUGACAGCAUCACCAUCAUUUGAAUGUUUGGAAGCUCUGUGGGGACUCAGGUUUUUCUUCCUCCUGCUGAAAGAGCUCGGCCGGCACCAUCCUAACUAACUCAGAGGCCUGGGCGCAUCGUGAGUGAGACCCGACCCGGGAGAGCAGAGCAGCCACGGCCUUGGAGGAUCUGAGUGCUGAGCCCGAGGCGCUGGGUUCUGCUGUCCCAACUCUCUUCUCUAAAACACGUGGUUGUUAGUAGGAAAGUGCUGAGAGACCAUCCACACGGGAGGCGUGUGAUGUGCUGCGACAUCCCUCAGCUAUCGCUCCUGGGCUCAGUCCACGACAGCCAGUAGCUUCUCCUCCUUUCUCUUCCUUUGACGCGGGAAUCACCAGCUGCGCAUUCCCCUUGGACACGGAAAUCUGCACAGGGCUUUUCCUUCCUAAGUGGUCCUUUUGAUCCUGCCUCGAACCUCGUCACCCGCAGUGUGACUUGGAUCUCACCUUCCUCGCCAGCAACUCUUGGACUCGUCUCUGUCCACUCCGGGCCUUUCUUCCCACACAGCAGUCGUCGUGGAGUCUGCUCGUUACCAGUGCAGACACUUGGCAGAAAUUUAUCUCAGACUCUUUCCUUUCUUUAUGGAAGUUCUUAUCCAUUUUCUAAUCAUGUCCUGACUGCAAAUGUAAUUUUUCUUUUAUGGCCCUCUCCAAACUUCAAACAGUUUAGACAGAACUCAGCCAGAUGACCCAUGACUCUGGAAUGGGAGAGGAUUGGAUACUCAACUCCCCUGGGCUUACACUCGGUCCCAAAUCCUUGUGGACAUUCACAUGGGACACUCUGACCUUAGACCUCGUUGUUUCUCUGCCUAUCCCUCCUUUUGACAUGCUUGCCACUGAGACCUAAUUAAGCCUCACAACUAAGAACUGUGUCUUCCACUGGAGGGGUGACAGGUGACUUGGGUGAGCAGGAGUAGGAGGAGAAGUAAAGAAGGACAAUUA
Molecule: non-coding RNA, 3035 nt
Organism: Microcebus murinus (gray mouse lemur)
Lineage: Eukaryota; Metazoa; Chordata; Mammalia; Primates; Cheirogaleidae
Source: RefSeq, a predicted model, not a curated record